This 492-nucleotide ribosomal RNA is filed under the name uncultured bacterium. RNAcentral describes it as "partial 16S ribosomal RNA". It matches the Rfam family "Bacterial small subunit ribosomal RNA", at positions 29 to 507 of the family's 1533-position model. The record is from RNAcentral.
AGUGAACGCUGGCGGUAGGCCUAACACAUGCAAGUCGAACGGCAGCACAGUAAGAGCUUGCUCUUACGGGUGGCGAGUGGCGGACGGGUGAGGAAUACAUCGGAAUCUACUUUUUCGUGGGGGAUAACGUAGGGAAACUUACGCUAAUACCGCAUACGACCUACGGGUGAAAGCAGGGGAUCUUCGGACCUUGCGCGAUUGAAUGAGCCGAUGUCGGAUUAGCUAGUUGGCGGGGUAAUGGCCCACCAAGGCGACGAUCCGUAGCUGGUCUGAGAGGAUGAUCAGCCACACUGGAACUGAGACACGGUCCAGACUCCUACGGGAGGCAGCAGUGGGGAAUAUUGGACAAUGGGCGUAAGCCUGAUCCAGCCAUACCGCGUGUGUGAAGAAGGCCUUCGGGUUGUAAAGCCCUUUUGUUGGGAAAGAAAAGCAGCAGGUUAAUACCCCGCUGUUCUGACGGUACCCAAAGAAUAAGCACCGGCUAACUUCGUG